RNAcentral lists this ribosomal RNA (128 nucleotides) under Escherichia coli. Its description in RNAcentral is "partial 16S ribosomal RNA". It matches the Rfam family "Bacterial small subunit ribosomal RNA", at positions 1416 to 1533 of the family's 1533-position model. Lineage: Bacteria; Pseudomonadati; Pseudomonadota; Gammaproteobacteria; Enterobacterales; Enterobacteriaceae. RNAcentral also lists the same sequence under 2 other names. The record is from RNAcentral.
UGCAAAAGAAGUAGGUAGCUUAACCUUCGGGAGGGCGCUUACCACUUUGUGAUUCAUGACUGGGGUGAAGUCGUAACAAGGUAACCGUAGGGGAACCUGCGGUUGGAUCACCUCCUUACCUUAAAGAA